This 390-nucleotide ribosomal RNA is filed under the name uncultured Pseudomonas sp. RNAcentral describes it as "bacterial SSU rRNA". It matches the Rfam family "Bacterial small subunit ribosomal RNA", at positions 987 to 1382 of the family's 1533-position model. Lineage: Bacteria; Pseudomonadati; Pseudomonadota; Gammaproteobacteria; Pseudomonadales; Pseudomonadaceae. The record is from RNAcentral.
UGCAGAGAACUUCAGAGAUGGAUUGUUGCCUUCGGGAACUCUGACACAGGUGCUGCAUGGCUGUCGUCAGCUCGUGCGUGAGAUGUUGGGUUAAGUCCGUAACGAGCGCAACCCUUGUCCUAGUUACCAGCACGUUAUGGUGGGCACUCUAAGGAGACUGCCGGUGACAAACCGGAGGAAGUGGGGAUGACGUCAAGUCAUCAUGGCCCUUACGGCCUGGGCUACACACGUGCUACAAUGGUCGGUACAAAGGGUUGCCAAGCCGCGAGGUGGAGCUAAUCCCAUAAAACCGAUCGUAGUCCGGAUCGCAGUCUGCAACUCGACUGCGUGAAGUCGGAAUCGCUAGUAAUCGUGAAUCAGAAUGUCACGGUGAAUACGUUCCCGGGCCUU